AGUCUUCGGGGCGGGGCGAAAUUCCCCACCGGCGGUAAAGUCCGCGACCCACUUUAUGUGGCUGAACCGGUGUGAUUCCGGUACCGACAGUAUAGUCUGGAUGAGAGAAGAA
This 112-nucleotide non-coding RNA is filed under the name uncultured Faecalimonas sp. RNAcentral describes it as "FMN riboswitch (RFN element)". It matches the Rfam family "FMN riboswitch aptamer (RFN element)". Rfam says of the family: The RFN element is a highly conserved domain that is found frequently in the 5'-untranslated regions of prokaryotic mRNAs that encode for flavin mononucleotide (FMN) biosynthesis and transport proteins. This element is a metabolite-dependent riboswitch that directly binds FMN in the absence of proteins. In Bacillus subtilis, the riboswitch most likely controls gene expression by causing premature transcription termination within the 5' untranslated region of the ribDEAHT operon and precluding access to the ribosome-binding site of ypaA mRNA. The record is from RNAcentral. Lineage: Bacteria; Bacillati; Bacillota; Clostridia; Lachnospirales; Lachnospiraceae.